This 497-nucleotide ribosomal RNA is filed under the name uncultured bacterium. Its description in RNAcentral is "partial 16S ribosomal RNA". It matches the Rfam family "Bacterial small subunit ribosomal RNA", at positions 28 to 507 of the family's 1533-position model. The record is from RNAcentral.
GAUGAACGCUGGCGGCGUGCCUAAUACAUGCAAGUCGAGCGAACAGACGAGGAGCUUGCUCCUCUGACGUUAGCGGCGGACGGGUGAGUAACACGUGGAUAACCUACCUAUAAGACUGGGAUAACUUCGGGAAACCGGAGCUAAUACCGGAUAAUAUAUUGAACCGCAUGGUUCAAUAGUGAAAGACGGUUUUGCUGUCACUUAUAGAUGGAUCCGCGCCGCAUUAGCUAGUUGGUAAGGUAACGGCUUACCAAGGCGACGAUGCGUAGCCGACCUGAGAGGGUGACCUGCCACCCUGGAACUGAGCCACGGUCCAGACUCCUACGGGUGGCAGCAGUAGGGAAUCUUCCGCCAUGGGCGAAAGCCUGACGGAGCAACGCCGCGUGAGUGAUGAAGGUCUUCGGAUCGUAAAACUCUGUUAUUAGGGAAGAACAAAUGUGUAAGUAACUAUGCACGUCUUGACGGUACCUAAUCAGAAAGCCACGGCUAACUACGUG